ACAAAAGAAAAACAUUAUUCUUGGAAGUUUUCAUAUUCACAGAGUUUUCAUUUUGCACACCACACCCAAUUUGUUCAUCCGGAAACAAAGAACAAGGCUGAAUGCUACAAUCCCGAAUGAUUGGCUUCAGAUCCUCCUCAAAAGUUUCAAUUGGUCGGUCAAAGUGACCACCAAAGUCAAAAGCAUAGUUUCCUGGUUGAACAGGAAUGGCAUCAUAGACCACCAGAUUGUCAGGCUUCUGCAAAAGAAAUUUUGUUUUUUUUUUUCUCCUUUUUACAUCUCAACGGUAACAUCUGUUGAAUUUCUUUUUUACCAAAAAAGCAAAAAACAAAAUAUUGACACGUGGACUUUCUUUAUAAACAAGCAUGUUACUACUAAAUCGCGGUGAUCUUCUCCAAAAUUUAACAAUGGCCAACUUCUUUAAUCACUCUACUAUUCUUCGUUUCUCCAACCUCUCAAAUUCAAAAACCGUGAUUUUACCUAGAAACCUCGAUCUAUCUACAUGGCGAUUCCCAGAAGAACACAAGGACGCAAACCCUAAUUUCAAGAAACGGCGGAGUUUCUCCAAGUAUGGUGAUGGUCGUUCCUCAAAAACAGAUCCUUCUUACAAGAACAGGUUACGUUCACCGCGGUUCUCCGACGAUCCCCAGAAGAACACAAGGACGUCAAGCCGUAAUUUCAAGAAACAGGUUACGUUCACCGCGCGGUUCUCCGACGAUCCCCAGGUGGUGUUUAUCUGCGGCGGUAUGAGUGAAAGUCCUCAGAUUUCGGGGAUACUUGUGUUACAAGGGACUUGGAACGACGAAAUUCCAUUCCACCCAACGGUUCCUAUUCAUCCAAUUCACACACUCGUCUCCUUUUAUCUCCCAAUCUCUGAGUCUCUCUUGCUCGCUUAAGCAGAAUCCGCCAUGGAAAGAGGAAUACGUGCGCAAAUGCUGAUCCUGAAAUACACGUUUUUCGUAUUGGCUGGGAAGAAGAAGGAGAUCGAGAAAGAAAAGCAAGAUGAGAAGCUUAAGACAGAAGAUGAAAAUAUUUCAUAAGUCUCAGGUAAAGAAAAGGUUAAACCGUAACUUAUUAAUGAAUUAUACGUAAUUCGAUUGAAAUCUAGACUUGAAUGUCUAGGCCGUAAAUCACAAGCCCACUAGACCCAUAUAUCUUGAAUUGCUUUGAAUCAUAGGAUUUUGCAUAGGAUUUGCUGGUUUCGAGCGCACGUUAUCUGUCAAAGUAUUACAUUCGCAAAACAAA
Brassica napus (rape) is the source of this 1245-nucleotide long non-coding RNA. RefSeq lists it as uncharacterized. The transcript is spliced from 3 exons. Lineage: Eukaryota; Viridiplantae; Streptophyta; Magnoliopsida; Brassicales; Brassicaceae. The record is from RefSeq and is a predicted model, not a curated record.